RNAcentral lists this ribosomal RNA (306 nucleotides) under Triticum aestivum (bread wheat). RNAcentral describes it as "partial small subunit ribosomal RNA". Lineage: Eukaryota; Viridiplantae; Streptophyta; Magnoliopsida; Poales; Poaceae. The record is from RNAcentral.
AUGGGCUGUCCCUUUCGCCUAUUUAUGGCCCAAGUAGGAGUAGGUACUUUGCCCUGUUCGUUCACGCCCGGAAGUGCGUCAGCUGACAGGGCCUCUCUACCUUGUGACCACACGUGCAAAACGCACACUCCGGUGCCUGUAUGUUUGUAUGUCUCCGUUCUUUUUCAGUCUGGUUUUAUUUACAACCGUUGUAGAAAAGAGAAAAAGAGCUUCCGGGUCGACGCGACGCACUUCCGUAGAGUUCCUGAGCCUUUUCCAGCAACAAAAUUUGGUUUCUGGGUUUCCACGGGUUACUUUCUCCACUGA